Passer domesticus (house sparrow) is the source of this 3835-nucleotide long non-coding RNA. RefSeq lists it as uncharacterized. NCBI's taxonomy places the organism in Eukaryota, Metazoa, Chordata, Aves, Passeriformes, Passeridae. The record is from RefSeq and is a predicted model, not a curated record. The transcript has 6 exons.
UGUUAGCUGAACGUGCUGGUCACUCACGACACCUUGCUCUGCAUUCUGGGGGGUUUUGGUGGAAGGAAUCAGAGUGGCCACAUUACUGAGGAGCUGCUAGAGGAUAUUAUCUUGCCACAGAUGGUAUCAUUCCUGCAAAGUUCACUGCUCAAAAAUCCAUCUGAGCCAUGAAGUCAGCAUUUACACAGCAAGCUUGUUUUUAGUCUGCUGCAAACAUCGUAUUUCUGCAAAGAUCUAGAGUCUGGCAGCACAAGCUGUUGUAAAUUUGCAGAGCAUGGUGGCUUUUGCUUGAUGAAGAGAAGUAAAGAAACAGACACGUGUGACAACAGAGAUGUUUUGGCAGAGACAAUGUAGCUGGCAAGAAUGACAGUGUGAAAUGAAGAUAAAUGAAGAAUAUGGGCACAUGGAUCCCUAGAAGGAGGCUGGGUUGAUGUUGAUGCAGAUGCAAAUUUUCAGAAGAAAAAGUACCUCCAAUCUGAUCCAGCUGAUGGUUGUUUCAUCAACAAGACAAAGACAUCUGUCCCCACACAGCCUCUAUUUUUUGGUGGGGAGGCAGGUUUGAUCUUUUGAGUCAAAUGAUCCCUUCAAUGAAGAUCAGUAAAAUAGAAUUCCACAGUAUUAUCAAACUGAAGACACAGCAAGAGAAGAGACGAGUACAGAUAACCAGAAGCAGGAUGAAUUUGAAGUCAUCUUUUGAAAAACGUUGGUACUGAUGAGAAUUCUUGUCCUGUUUUCUAAAAGUCUGGAUAUUUCAAGUCAGGCGAGGAGUGGAUCAAGCACCUUAACUGGAAACAGGAAUCUUGCCUACAAUUUUUCCCCUUUGAGGGAGGCAAAAACAAAGGUGGUAUCCAGAAGAUGUUAAGUGACAGGGAAAUUCCAACAUUGUCUGGAAAGUUUUGACUGCCUGGACUUGCUGUGUUGACGGGUCAGCCAAGGAUGUGACAUAGAGACAGCCUUAAUAGUAUUGAUGGAUGGAGGAGAUAAGACUGAGUCAAAGAUCAACUAUUUUCCCAAGCUUAUUACAGAACUUACCUGUUUGUCAGAGCCUGUUUGCAGUAACUGAAAACAAGAAAUAAUAAACCCAUAUACAAACAAAGCCACAGUUUUUAAAAAACAAAGCUGUUGAAAAGCUGAGAGAAAUGAGAAGGAGACCCAACCGAAGCCUGUUGUGGAAUCUUAAUUACAGUAUGGUGGACUGAGAUGGAUGGAUGCCUUAAACAGACAAGUGUGUGGACAGAAAACAUGCAAGCUGCAAGAUGGCCCUCUCUGGGAAGGCAUUCAGAAAGUCAGGAAAGUCAAAUAUUUUUUCCUAUCCUUUACUGGGAGUGGGAAAUGGCAGGACUGUUUAUUUUAGCAGUCUGGGAAGUACUUCCUUGCUAAUGUGUAUGAUUUGGAGUUCUAUUUUCUUGAUGGGCUUUGCACUUUGAAAAUGAAAAGAAAAGAAGUGAAGUUUGAAGUCAGAAGGGUAACUGUACCAGAAAUGGCCUCCUGCCUCCCUAAGGUUCACGGGUGCAUCAGAAUGAGCAGGAGUUGGGUAGGAUUUACAGUUGGAAUACCGGAGGACAAGCUGAUCAUCUUCCCCGAAUAAGCAUGAAAGAUGUGUUGGAAAAACCGAAAUGUCCAUAUCCACCUUCCCGAGGACACAGUCCCCUGUGUGGAUUCCCUUCCCCUCACGUUGGCUCCAGCAGUCUGGACACUUGUCAAAUCCCCAGCAUGCAGCUGCCUGCAUCUCGCACUCCAUUAUUAUUGCUGAUGCUAAUCUCUGACCGCUGAACACGGGUCAGAACCAGGAGAUAAUUGCAGCUCCGAUCUGCCAGGCACGGUCCUUUGUGAGUAGUUAAUGAGUGUUCAGGAAAAUAAAGCAGAAAGAAGAAAAGGGGGAUUGUGGUUUGCAUACAGUGAGAUAGGGAAUGAAUAGGAGAUGGAAAGAGGGGAUAAUUCACUGAUAGGGGAAAAAGAAAGAAUUUGGGAAAAAAGAAAUCAUUUGCACUAAAGCUCCUACUGCCUUACUCUUGUUUAGCCCAAGCGGACAGGAUCUGGCAAGAAGGGGACUAAGUCAGGAUGCAGUCACACCCUGGACCUGUCAGUGAUGCUUUGAGUCUGGGUGCCAUAAAUGCAGAGAUGGGGGUCACCCUUUUCCCUGCCAGUCAGGGGUUACAACCACAAGACCGAUGCCCUUGUGUUCUUUGCUCUGAGGUAUUUGCUGUCCUUUACUCUGCAUCUCACACUGCCUGUGUGUUUGAAGGUGCCCUCUAGAGAUUGGCUAUCUACUCCUAAAAUUGGCUUUAGCUCUCUCUUAGCUUGAGUGGCAGUGACCUGUAUCUCUCUAUCUGAAUCACCAAACUUUAUUCCCAGCUCUAUCUUUAUAUCACAUACAGAGAGAUCGUUUUUGGUAUCUGAAGGAAAAAGGUGACUUUUAUCAAAUCUUUGACAGGCCCUUACUCCAAACAAAAAGUAGCUGCAUCUAGUGAUCCACAUGACACUGUUAUCCCUAGCACAGGGUUCUUUAACCCUGUGUGCAAGAAGCCAGUCCACACACAGAGUAGAGAUAUUUGAUUUUAUUUCAUGUCUGUGCAGAAAUGGGUGAUAGGUGUUAAAUCCACAACGCUGGCACCCCUUCAGUAUGCCAGGUGCUCAUUUUUGUACUCUUUGAACAAUAAAAACCCGCCAUUUCCUGUAUGCCUAACAACCUAAAGAUACAGUGUUUGGCUUUACAUUCUCGCCUCUUGGCUUAAAGAUACAGUGCACGUUUAUUUUACUAUGCAUGCUCUAAGAAGAAGGUUCUUAUAUGAGUAAGGGCUCAUCACAGGUUAUGGAUGGGCAUUUUACUAUGUUAAUGAGCACAAAGUUCAAGCUAAAUUGUUCUUUGGCUUUGUAACUUGAUUCAUAGUGUCCUCCUGUUCUUACUUUUCAGGCCAUGGCUUUUGGUUGGUACAGUUUUUUUUAUUCUCUCAUUCUUCACAAAUUCUUUUGUUUGUCCUGUACUACAUGCCAGUGAUUCAGUGAAUGUGUAACUUUUAACCUUCUCAUAUGUAUUUUAUUUCAACAACAUGAUUCCUCAUGAAGAUUCCAGAGAGCAUGAGUGUUCUUCCUUGCAGAGGAGAUGGCACCACCUGCUCCUGUGACAUCUGACAUAGGGAAUAAAUUAUGCACUAUGGGGACACAACAAUUUGGUAGUCUGGGCAUGUCUGGGUUUCCGGAAACCAGAAACCACCUCAAAGGAGGGGAAGUAAAACUGCUUCCUGCUAAUGAAUUAGAGUCACUCAGGAUGGAGUCUGAGGGGGAAAUAAAUGAUUGUGGUGCAUGUUUGUGUCCAUAUGAGUCCCCUCUUCCUAACGACCGUGUUAAUGUGCUCAUAAAAAGAUAUGGUGCAGGGGGGACGUGACUGUUCAGGCUGAUUAGCAUUUUAUGGCAGAACUAAGCUCCAUGACAAACUGCUGGCUGGGUGGACUGUUUUUACAACCCAGAAAACUCUAAGAUGCUGAAAGUAUGAGUUUCUUUUCCUUAUUUUGAGUGCUAUUAUAUUAAUAAUAAUAUUCGUUACUACUGACCUUUGAGGGGUCCUGCAACUCCCAUGAAAACAUAAGCUGGUGAGGGAGUUUCAGUGACUCAGGUGAGUCCUAACCAGAAGUGCUCUAUACUGGCACAACAGGACAGGGCACUAGGCUCACAGAAAUACCUGCAAUCAGCUGCAAAGCAUGACUGAGAUUCUGGGGCCUCUUGGACCUACUAACCAGAAAAAUAGGUAUCGAAUCCUGGUGUCUUGGCCAUACCCAGUGUCCGUCUGCAGUUUGCUCUUUGCUUUCAGUAAAGUAUUAAUUCGGCUUUGCUUUCA